Long non-coding RNA from Macadamia integrifolia, 5187 nucleotides. RefSeq lists it as uncharacterized. The transcript is spliced from 2 exons. NCBI's taxonomy places the organism in Eukaryota, Viridiplantae, Streptophyta, Magnoliopsida, Proteales, Proteaceae. The record is from RefSeq and is a predicted model, not a curated record.
UUCCCUCGAUCGCUGAGUCCCCUAUCCGAAUAUCCCGAGAGGAGAGACUAAAUUACCCAAAAAGACAGAAAAACCCUAGCAAGAUCAUGAGAAGUGAAGCAUAAUAUCGACGGAAAAAGUGACAAAACUCAUUGACAUUUCCGUAAUUUCAGUAACACUUAAACCCCGAUUUUGAGCCCCAUACUCGCUCUACCCCAAAAACGGAACGAAUCGCAUACUCGCAAGACGUAAUGACGAGUUGACGACUUCUCCUCGCAAUAUCAAAAUCUCCCAUGAAGAUACUUUCUCCCACUACCAAUAGAGAGUAUAGUGUUCAGCAGAGUUCUAAUGGAAACAAACGCAGGCGAAUCAAUCGUUCAUCGGCAUUGAAUUUCAGAACCGGAGUUUAGAAAUCCAGAAGGUUUUUCUUGGUUGAGGUCGAGGUUCAAGGGUAGGGAGAGGAUGAGGUGCUAGGGGGUUGAGGAGGACCACUACUUAAUCAAGCUUUACGCAAGUUUUCUCAUUGUGGUAAUCCCAAUCACUCCAUUGACAAGUGUUGGGAAAAGUAUGGUAAACAUGAGUGGGCACAACAGUUGGUUAAUUCAGCAGUGAUUGAUGGGUGUUCUAAUGUGGUGUUGUCUAAUGACACUGGGUUUGCUUCUACAUCUGGAGCUUGUCCAUCAAGCUCUAUGCCUCGAGAUGACCAAAUGAGCUACUUAAACGUCUUCAACAGCUCGAGUCUUCCACUUCUUCAUCCAUUGCCACACAAGCCCACACAAGUACUACUGCGCUUUUUGCCUCCUCUCCUAUUAGCUCAGUUUUUUACUUUAGUGCAUUCAAUCGUAUGACUGGUAAGUCUAAUGUCUUUUCUUUCUAUAAAACUAGUCAUCCAUCCUGGGUUACACUCGCUAAUGGAGCCUUUACUCAGGUUUUUGGUGGUGUUUGUAUAUCCCACUUCAUCAUUUUCAUUGUCUGUUCUUCAUGUAUCUCAAUUGCCCUUGAAUCUUUUAUCUGUGGUCAAAUUAAUAAGUCACAAAGUUGUUAUGUCUCUUUGUAUCAUUCUUAUUGUGCCUUCUAGGAUAUUCAUACAAAGAAUAAGAUUAGUGGAGGGCAUGAGAGGGGUGGUUUAUAUUUUCUUGAUCGUGAUUCUUUUUCUACUGUUGCAUUUGCUGCUUCUGGUGGUGUUUCCCCCCUUGGAUUGACAUUAUCAGUUAGGAAUUUGUUGCUCUCCAAGCUUCAACAAAUGGUUCAGGUGUUUAAAGCUGUCUUCUGUAUAGGUGUGAAGCUUGUGAGCUUGGCAAACAUCAUCAUACUUCCUUUCCUAUAAGGGAUGUUUUUAGGAGUCAUUUUUUGUUUUGUUUUAAGUUCACUCAGAUAUUUGGGGUCAUUUUCGUGUCCAGAGUCAGUCUGGUUUUAUGUACUUUGUUAGUUUGUUACUUUUGUGGACGAUCAUUCAUAUUUGACUUGGUUGUAUUUACUAAAAGCUCCUUCAUAAUUUUUAUCUAUUUUUAAAUGCUUUUUGUAAAGGGAAAAAAAAAAGUUUGGUGGUUUCUUUUAAUAACCUUUUUUUUCCGCUUGGAUAAUGCUUUGGAAUAUGCUACCAUUUCUUAUUUUUUCUCUAAGCAUGGUAUUUUACAUCAAAUUAGUUGCUCUCAGAAACAUGGUGUGGUUGAACGGAUGGACAGACACUUGUUAGGGAUUGCUUUUUUUUUUUAUGGUUUCAUAUGAAUAUUCCCAAAAGUUUAUUUUGGAGAGGGGGAGGAAGCAGUUUUAACCACUUGUUACUUGAUUAAUCGCAUUCCUUCUUUUGUACUUAAAAUAAAUCUCCUAUGAGUAUCACUUUUCCCUAUUCUCCCUUAUUUUCUUUGCCACCUCGUUUUUUUGGUUUACUGGUUUUGUUCAUGUUUUAUGUAUGGUAUUUAUAAUUAUCUCCUCAUGUGGUCAAAUAUUUUUUCUUGGAUAUUUGUGCACUUAAAAGGGUUAUCGUUUUUACAACCCUAUUAGCCACCAACAGUUUGUUAGUGCCGAUAUUACCUUCUUUGAGAGUACAUGUAUUUUUCUGGUGAGGGUCCUAAUAUGGCAACUAACAUUUUCUAGUCUCCUCUUAUCCCCAGUUUAGUUCCUUUUUUAGAUUACUGACUCGGUCCACACCUCUGCAAGUUCAUCAUUGAUGCUUUAAAUCGUCACUUGUGGCUAAAUUUCCUUCUUCAUUCCCCUUUACUCAAUUUGAUUCUUUGGCUAGAGUUAGUUCUUUCUCUGCACCUAUUGACUUACCGGUUGCUCUACGCAAAGAUACUCAUUCGUGCACCCAAUGGUGUAUGGUUGCUUACCUUAUUGACGACUUUGUUUCUGUGUCCUAUCUUCCAUCUUCCCUAUAUAGUUCUGCUUUGUCAUUGUUUGAACAUUCUAUCCAAAAAACCCAUCAUGAAGCAUUGUCUCAUUUGGGUGGAAGUCAGUUAUGGAUGCUCUGGUCUCCUGUAAGAUGUGGACCUUGGUUGAUCACCCUCUGGGUGAGGAGUCAGUGCGGUGUCGUUGGGUGUAUACUUUCAAGUACAUCCUUGAUGGAUCUGUUGAGUGGCCCUAUUGGUGGCUAAAGGGUACACUCAGAUUCAGGGUGUAGAUUCUUUUGAUAUGUUUCACUUGUUGCUCAGGGAGGGGAAGUAGAGAACAGCCAGGAGACCUCCUGGUGAGCGUGGGUUUUUGGCACACUACAGCUCACCAACUGCUCUAGGCAUUUGUUGUUACUUUCCCUUGCUAUUAAUCUUGAUUGACCGUUAUAUCAGCUUGACAUUAAAGAUGCUUUUCCUUAUGGUGGCAUACUUGAGGAUGUGUGCAUGGAGCUGAUGCAAUUAUCCGUAGGAAUUAGGAUUUAUCUCUUUGAGUUAAAAUUGUGAUUUUCUUUUUACAAUUUAUUCUUUAAUAGAGUCGUAGACAGAAUUGCAGUUAGACUUUGUUUCCAUUAGUGAGUGAGUCCAAGAUAGAGUCAGAUUAGGAAUAGGUUUUGUUUUGCUUAAUUCUAUAAUUAGUAGCUUGUAGUUCAUCUUUGGACAAAUUUGAUUUUGGAAUGAAUGACAAAGUUUGAGUUGACUCGUUGAUACUAUUUGUUGCUUUCUAUUUCCUUUACGAUUCUAAUGCUCUUCUCAGCUACCCUCUUCUCUUCCCUUCAUUUUUCGGUUUAAUCUUAGGCCUCGUUUGUUUGACGGAUAAAAAGGGGUGGGAAACUUAUGAAUUGGGUCCCACAUGUUGUGGGUUGGGUUGACAAGGAAAGGAAAGGAAAGGAAAGGAAGUGAUGGAGUAUUUAAUUUUUAGUGGGGUCUACCUCUAUGGGAAAGAGAGGAAAAGGAAAUGGGGUAGGAUUCUAAAAGAAAGAGAGGCAAGAGGAGGAGAAGAGAGAGAGACGCAAAACAACUUUUCCAUGAAGGCCUACCAAUUUUAGUAGGACUUUGGAAGUGUAUGGGGUAGGAAUAGUUAACUGCCACAUCAGCAGACAACAAUUAUUAUAUUUUUGUCUGAUAAGUUUCCCACCUAGCAAACAAACAACCGAGGUUUUUGGUAUUUUGAGGAAAAAUUCCUCAUUCUCUCACCCAUUUUUUUCCAUCAGACAAACUGGGCCUUAUUACACCCCCCUCAGUGCCCCCCCCCCCCCCCAAAAAAAAAAAAAAACCUAACUGAUAUUUCCUUCCUUCUCCCCUCUUUCUCUCUUCCUUUUGUUACACUGUUCUUAUCUUACCCUGAUACUGCCAAACCAGUUGAUCAUUGGGUCUAAAACUUCGAUCGAAGGUUCUCUACCUUUAGGUGAUUUAAAGCCUUGAAUAUCAUCUUCUAAGACAUCUCCAAUUGUGAGAAAUUGAAGCAGCAAUCAUGCUGUUCUUGAGUUUUCCUCUAGACCUGAAUAGCAGAGGAAUCGGUUCAUGUCCUGAUCUCGAUUUUGAGUGCUGCUUGUGCAGAAUCCAUAGGGCUUAGGAUUUGUGACCUUUUCCUUGAAGUCCCACGUCUAUCCGAUUCUUGUGGAGUGAGUUCUCUCACUCGAAAUCGAACCUGGUUUCUUGUCACUUCAAUUCCUGAACGUGAGCUGUAAGAAGACAAUUGAAAAUACCUUAAAACCUAAUUUCCCAGAAAUACCCUCCUUUAGGUUAUUUUGAUAUUGCCCUAAUUUUAUUAUCCCUUCCAAGUUUACCCCUUUUCCUAUUACGUUGCAUUCCACUUUGUUCUGGUUUCUUUAUGAUAUGAAGCUUCGCCAAAUUAUGGUAUUGCCAAAAAUUCUGAAAAAACAGGGUACCGCUGGGAGAAUUUUCCAGCAAUAUGUAGCAGGAAACAAGGACUUCGUUUACCCUCAACAUUGUAUAGAAGAAUCUUGCCAGUAGGGUUAACAACACCCUGAAGAAAUUAUUUUUGUGCUGUAACUUUUUAAGUAAUUAUUAUUCAUCAGUACAAUAUGCUGGUGUCAAUCAAGAUCAUAAUCCUGGUGAGCACAUGUGAUUGAUUGGAGUGGACCCCUAUGCCUUUUGGAUAUGUCAGUGGUUGUAGUAGAACUUUUAUUCUAUAUCACCAGGAACUGAAGUCAGAUUCUUGCAUGGCCUUCUGGAUAUGUCGUUGGCCAUAGUAUAAGUGUAUAACUUUUAUUCUAUAUUCCCAAGAACUGAAAUCCGAUUCUAGCAUGAUCAAUUGGUGUUGAGUGCGUGUAAUAUAUUGGGAAUGGCAGAUUAAUGGUGUCUUGAAUCAUGUUGGAUAUUUUUUCACGUCAUCUGUUGUAGUUGAAUGGUGGAAUGGUAAAGACUUAAAUAGGUUUAGUAUUUCUGCAUGGUCUGAUAUCUCCUGCUUUUGUGGUUCACAUUUGUUUUCUAGGUCUUGGAACUGUCGAACAUUUUUUUUUAAAUGUUUUUGACAGAUCAAGCAGUGCCAAUGAGGCGGAGCCCUGGGCACCACCAUCCCGACACUCUGAAUCGAAGAAGAGACCCAAGAUAGUGAGGUCCAGGCAUCCAGUAACAGAAAAUGCUGGUUGGUGGUGAUUGGUAACAUCUUAAACUGUUCUAGUGAGACUGAUAAUUUGUGGUUGGAGAAACAGGAAAGCCUUUGAGGUAAACAGCUAGAAAAAGGUGCCAUGUUUGAAGGUCUCUCUCCAUUUUUACGAAUCUAAUAUUGAUGCUAAUUGUAAACCAUCAUUUUAAUCAUUUAAUUUAUUCAAUUGAUUCAUUUGUUACACCUCAA